RNAcentral lists this ribosomal RNA (231 nucleotides) under Bacillus sp. m2-6. RNAcentral describes it as "partial 16S ribosomal RNA". It matches the Rfam family "Bacterial small subunit ribosomal RNA", at positions 142 to 357 of the family's 1533-position model. The record is from RNAcentral. Lineage: Bacteria; Bacillati; Bacillota; Bacilli; Caryophanales; Bacillaceae.
GAUAACUUCGGGAAACCGAAGCUAAUACCGGAUAAUAUUUUUGGUUGCAUGACCGAAAAUUGAAAGGUGGCUUUUAGCUAUCACUUACAGAUGGACCCGCGGCGCAUUAGCUAGUUGGUGAGGUAACGGCUCACCAAGGCAACGAUGCGUAGCCGACCUGAGAGGGUGAUCGGCCACACUGGGACUGAGACACGGCCCAGACUCCUACGGGAGGCAGCAGUGGUCAUACUG